AAUAAAUUUUUUAUGGUUUAAUAAUUUAUUAUAAAUUUAUUUUACAUAUAAAUUUUAGUGUUAAUUUUUAAUUAUUUUAAUAAUAUUUAAAUUAAAUUUUGUAGUAAUUAAUAUUAAAAAUUUAAGAAAUUAAGGUUUAGUAAUAUUUAAAUUAAUAACAAAUUUUGUGCCAGCAGUUGCGGUUAAACAAAAGUUAAAUUAAAUUUUAUUAGUAAUUAAUAUAUAAUUUUAUAAUAUUUAAUUAAAUAUAAAAUUAUUAGGUGAAAUUUUUAUUUUAUUUAAUUUAAUUUUUUUUUUAUAAUUUAAUAAAUUUUAUUUAUAAACUAGGAUUAGAUACCCUAUUAUUAAAAAUUUAAAUUAAAAAUACUAAAAUAGUAUAUAAUUAUUUAUUGAAACUUAAAUAAUUUGGCGGUAUUUUAGUUCAUUUAGAGGAAUCUGUUUAUUAAUUGAUAAUCCACGAAUAAAUUUACUUAAUUUAUAAUUUUGUAUAUCGUUGUUAAAAAAAUAUUUUUAAAUAAUAAUAAUAUUUUAAAAUUAUAAAAAAAAAAUUAAAUCAGAUCAAGAUGCAGAUUAUAAUUAAGAAUAUAAUGGAUUACAAUAAAUUUAUUUAAAUGAAUAUUAAUUUUUAAAAAUUAAUUGAAGGUGGAUUUAAAUGUAAUUUUAUUUAGUUUAAUAAAGUGAUUUUAAAUUAAAAUAUGUACAUAUUGCCCGUCGCUUUCAUAAAUAAAUUGGAAUAAGUCGUAACAAAGUAGAGAUACUGGAAAGUGUUUCUAGAAAUAA
This 780-nucleotide non-coding RNA is filed under the name Sitochroa verticalis. Lineage: Eukaryota; Metazoa; Arthropoda; Insecta; Lepidoptera; Crambidae. The record is from RNAcentral.